UACGGAGGGUGCGAGCGUUGUCCGGAAUCAUUGGGCGUAAAGGGCGCGUAGGUGGCCCGGUCAGUUUGUGGUGAAAGCGCGGGGCUCAACUCCGCGUCGGCCAUGAAUACUGCUGGGCUGGAGCACUGUAGAGGCAGGCGGAAUUCCGGGUGUAGCGGUGGAAUGCGUAGAGAUCCGGAAGAACACCGGUGGCGAAGGCGGUCUGCUGGGCAGUUGCUGACACUGAGGCGCGACAGCGUGGGGAGCAAACAGG
This 253-nucleotide ribosomal RNA is filed under the name uncultured bacterium. Its description in RNAcentral is "partial 16S ribosomal RNA". It matches the Rfam family "Bacterial small subunit ribosomal RNA", at positions 524 to 776 of the family's 1533-position model. The record is from RNAcentral.